RNAcentral lists this transfer RNA (67 nucleotides) under Mus saxicola (spiny mouse). RNAcentral's name for it is "tRNA-Phe". It matches the Rfam family "tRNA". From Rfam's summary of the family: Transfer RNA (tRNA) molecules are approximately 80 nucleotides in length. Their secondary structure includes four short double-helical elements and three loops (D, anti-codon, and T loops). The record is from RNAcentral. Lineage: Eukaryota; Metazoa; Chordata; Mammalia; Rodentia; Muridae.
GUUAAUGUAGCUUAAAGUAAAGCAAAGCACUGAAAAUGCUUAGAUGGUUUUUUAAAAAUCCCAUAAA